UGGGGAAGUAUUGCACAAUGGAGGAAACUCUGAUGCAGCGACGCCGCGUGGAGGAAGAAGGUCUUCGGAUUGUAAACUCCUGUUGUUGGGGAAAAUAAGGAUGGUACCCAACAAGGAAGUGACGGCUAACUACGUGCCAGCAGCCGCGGUAAAACGUAGGUCACAAGCGUUGUCCGGAAUUACUGGGUGUAAAGGGAGCGCAGGCGGGUAUGCAAGUUGGAAGUGAAAUACAUGGGCUCAACCCAUGAACUGCUUUCAAAACUGUGUAUCUUGAGUAGUGCAGAGGUAGGCGGAAUUCCCGGUGUAGCGGUGGAAUGCGUAGAUAUCGGGAGGAACACCAGUGGCGAAGGCGGCCUACUGGGCACCAACUGACGCUGAGGCUCGAAAGUGUGGGUAGCAAACAGGAUUAGA
This 411-nucleotide ribosomal RNA is filed under the name uncultured bacterium. RNAcentral describes it as "bacterial SSU rRNA". It matches the Rfam family "Bacterial small subunit ribosomal RNA", at positions 355 to 782 of the family's 1533-position model. The record is from RNAcentral.